UGUUGUCUUGAGGCCCAUAAUCCACUGUUGUUGUUGAUGUUUUUUGGUUGUUUUUUUACAUGAAAACUGCUUGAAAUCUAAUGUGGUGUCAACAUUAGAGGAGGCCAUUAAUACUGUAUAUAAAUGAGAGGAGGUGGUAAUAGAGAUACGCAGUGUGUGUGUGUGUGUGUGUGUGUGUGUGUGUAUAAAUGGCACCAGGACCCAGAAUACUGACAGCUUCCUCUCCAAAGCAACUACAGGUCAUUUAGUUAGCGAGUGCCGUGUGUUCCCAUUCACUUCAGCAUGCAUGGCAACCCUCAACAAAGGAGCGGUGCAUCAAGAAAUCCAGUGUCACAGUGGGGGCAAAAGGCAUUCAGGAGAGAAUAAGUUAAAAAGGAAUAUUCAAACCUGUCACUCACUGAGCCGCCAACACUCUCUCUCAUUCUUUCUCUCCCAAAAUUUUCCCAUCGUCGGAUAUAAUUCAGGUGAAGGUAAGCCUGCAGUAUGAAUAAACAGAAAGGGGCUGAGCUUUGAAGAGGAUUUUUUUUUUUAGAAUUCAUUACUUUCAUGUGCUGAGAGUUAAGGGUAGUCUUUAGAGGUCGGCUGAGUGUUAGUGACUGACUGAAAGGCAAGGAAACUUAAACUGUGUCACAACACACCUAGAACGACCGUAUAAAACCAAUAGAGUUCUCUAACCGUGCAAAAAAUGUGACAAAAAAAACGUAACUUUAUUUUUUACCUAACAACACUGACUUAGUGAUUUAUGGGGCACAUAGCCACAUUUGCCCCUCAGGUGACACCAACACCCCCAUUCACACCUUUUCUGACCUUCAUGUUUUAUUAAUCAAUGACCCUUGUUUCAGGUAUUCAGUCACCCUGAGGUUUAAUUAAACCAUCAUUUUUCAGCAGUCAGUUAGAACUGAAGAAGCCUCGUGGAUAAAAGGUCAAAAGACACUAUGACAGUCCAGUUGCCCUUUACUGACCUGCUGUGGAUGUUAAUAGGAGGUACAUCUGGACUGCAGGCUGGCCAGUCAUGCUCUUGCCCCAAAAGACAGUACAAAACAGGGUUCAACUGCUAAUCUUAGCUAACAAAAACUGAGCCUAUAACAGAUCAGCUCGAUCUCGAUCUUGAUAUUCAAAGCUGUCUCUAAUUAACCUGUUUACUGAUGCAGUAUGACAGUUGUCUGAUUGUGAGAAAGGGUUGCUUUCUCUUAUGUCUCUGCUUCUCUGUGACUCCUGGUGAAAAAAGAGAAGAGGAGAAGGGAGUGAGGAGAUAAUCCAGGAUAUGUUGCAUGGCAACCUGAGCCUAGCGAAAGGCUCUGAUACUUCCAGCACAGGAAGCUACAGCUAAACCAUCUUCUUCUUCAGCAAUGACAGGCAGGAAGAUCUCGUUGGGAUGUUGGUUGAUGUGAAUUGAUGUACGCUGCAGGAGCUGGACUGACGAGCACUCUGACUGUCGUCUCCAUUGAGAUUCAAUAGUGUUUUACGCACUUCGGUCCACUUCGGUCCAAGACCGGCAAGAUUUUUUUUCUUCUAUCACCAUCAGUCUCAGUAGUCUGUAACUACACUCAAUAGGUCCCUUUUUUUAUUAUGUAGAUUAUUUUGUUGGAAAUGGAGGAGCUGGAUUUUGUUGUCGGGUCUAUAGCAGGGCUACUCAAAGUAAAGGGUCAAUUUUCCUUUUACAAAAAUAACAACAGAAAUACUUAAUAAAAUAAGAUACUGGUCUAAUGUUAGAGUCCCUAAAACCUAAUGUCUGUGGGUGAUGUAACAUAGUAUUUGCUUAUAAACAUAGUGUCCAUACAUGUAUGUAUAUAUAUGUACAUAUUUGUAUGUAAAUAUAUAUCCAAAAGAUGUGUAAAUCUAUGUAUAUAUAUGUACAUGUAUAAAUAUAUAAUUUCAUAUGUAUGUAUACAUAGAAAGAUAUAUAUUUAAGCAUCUUUUGGAUACACUUGUAUAUCCAUAUAUAUGUACAUAUAUUUAUAUAAUUUUGGGAAAAUAACCAUGUCAGUUAAUCAUGACUCACCUUCUGUGGCCAUCCUCCAAUAUUUAUACUCAGUCUGGGCCUUUGCAGAGAGGGAAAUGUCUGACAUUUCCCGUGGCUUUCAGUUAGAUGAAUAAUCUGAUGAUCAGGUGGUCUGGGGUGAGCGAUGUGUGGCCUUGAAAAGAGAAAAACAAUGCAGCUGAAUAUUAAAUGCGCUUGUGUGUUUCAUGGCCUGUCAAACCUGGGUGUGGCUUGUGGUGCAGAGAAGACAGACAGCCUCAUUUCCUGGGCGACGUGUGGAUGACUGCGCGUGUGCUGUAUGUAUAGACAGGCCGUGUCUGCGUAAAACACACACACACAUGCACACCGAGACACGCAUGCACGUGCACAGGCAGUCAAGCCUGUGAUCAUUUGAAUUCUUCCCAGUGGUGGUUCCUGUAGACAUCUCCAUCAUGCUGUCAGAAGAAAUGAACACAGUACAUUGAGACACAAAGAAGGAAAAACGUAGCUCUUUUUUUCCACUCACAUUCAGCAUCAUGUAGGUCAAACGCACGCUUUACUCAACACGGUCCAAACAAGUGAAAUGAGCCAAGGAGGAACUUAUCCAUUGCAUGGUGAAAAAAUACAUUUAUUGGAAUCUGUGUCAAUGUAGAAAAAUGUGAAAUCUAGCUUUUAGGUUUUGUCACAGUACCACAGGUGAAUAUUCCAGCAGCCGCCUGGUGAGCCAAAACCAAGCCAGCAAGCCUGUUCGGGGCAGUUUUUCUGCAACUGAUGACAAAAGGACGGGUGGCUCACAGUGGCCAAUGACACCACAUACAUCUCUCACAGACACUGAAAAGCUCAGGCUGCAUAUAAGAUAUACUGGCAAACACACACAUUGCACAGCAAUUAGCCUAGACCAACAUUUUCUAAUUUCACACAGCUUUUGUGGGAGGAACUGACUUCAAGUGUUCAUUGUGAUACUGUCACAAAGUCCCAUUCAUUGCCUAUUAAGCCAGGGUGAAUAAUUACAGGACCGUAGGUGGCUCAGAGGAACACAUACUUUAUGAUUAAUUGUUCAUCGCUGUUUGAGGUCCACUAACCUGGGCUCUGGGCAAGGUGGAUACACAAAACCUGUCUCUAGUAAAGUUGGUACAGUCACUAUAAAUGCAACAAAUAAAAUCUGGUUAUUUGUUAUAUUUUAUCACUAUAUCUCAUGGUAGUAUUUUAUAAAAGAUUACUCACGAGGGAGGCAUAGAGUUGAGUUUUGUUUUUGUCCCUUCAUUGAGAUGGCAGGGGCAACAGUGGCCCACAGGUCAUUUGAAUUUGAGUCCCCUGGUUAUAUGGUCUGAUAAAUAACAGAACAAAUGCAUCAUCUAUUGAAAUACUUUGUUUUUUAUUGUAUUUUCAGGGAAUGUACCAACUUUUGUGGAAACAAGUGUUUUCAACACCACUGGCCACAAGUUCGAAGCACUGAGACUCAUCCAUCACACUGAUGUCUAAGAGUCCAAUUUCCAUUACAAAGAUCUUGUCAUAAUGAAAGGUGGUUUGAUAUUUUACCUUGACGCCCAGGAAUCAAUCGAAAAUUUGAACAAAUACUUUCCAAUGACCCUACAGUGUGUGGGGCAAACAGCGUCCUGAUCAGGUCCAAUGCUAAUGUGUGUAGUGCAUCCUUGAUAUGCCAGUAUAGUCUCACAACACAUGGCAACUCUGCAUAUUUUAGAACUAAAAUUGCAACAGAAAAAGGCAUUUAAAAACAGAAACAUUUCUGAACUCAGAUACUGAGCAUUAACACUGAGAGGUCAGUUUUUCUUUUUCUUACCCAUACAGCUUUCAUUAUAUAUAGACCUAUUUUUAUUAUUAAAUAUCUUAAAUCUCAUAUAAAAGAAUUAAUCAUAAAACAAUUCUAUUUACACACACAAGAGUGCACGAGUCGGACAUGAGGUUGCAUGCUGAGGUGGUUUAUCUAAAUAACGUUCUGCUGUGAUUUAGCUGUAUAAAUGCUGCUUUGCUGUACGUCACUCGGUCGUACAUCUUCGUCUGUCUAAAGUCGGAGUUUGUGAUGCAUUGUACAACAGAUUUUUGUUAGGAGUACUAACUCUUGAUAAUACCAUUAGCAAACAAAGGUGCUGCCAAACAGAAAUAAAUAUGAAGGUAAAAUAAAAAAUCUCCUUUUCUUGGCCACUCUUGGCAAACUAUCAAACUGUAAGAUCUUUACUUUGUUCAAACAAAGGAUCUGACAAUGGUGAUCAGGUCAAAUAAUAUGUGAAUGAGCAGGCAUUCAUUUACAUUACAAAAUUAUAGCACAUAGCUAAGAUCGAGACAUGCAAACUUUGGGGCUUUUAUGCAACAAACUUGAGAAACAAAAUAGAAGGUUUGUUCCUUUAUGGCCGCGGUCUAUGAGGAUGAUGUUUUCCUAGUUUUUAUUUAAGGGGAAAUAACAGGACACCAGUGGCAGGGUGGCUUCCCUAACAUUUAAGCAGCAUGUCGAAUCAUUGACUGUACAAACACAACUAUGCUCUUUUUUUUCUUUUUGUUUUUGUAAAAAAAAGACGUUUGACAUUACAAACAA
Molecule: long non-coding RNA, 4511 nt
Organism: Cynoglossus semilaevis (tongue sole)
Lineage: Eukaryota; Metazoa; Chordata; Actinopteri; Pleuronectiformes; Cynoglossidae
Exons: 2
Source: RefSeq, a predicted model, not a curated record